RNAcentral lists this ribosomal RNA (771 nucleotides) under uncultured archaeon. RNAcentral describes it as "bacterial SSU rRNA". It matches the Rfam family "Archaeal small subunit ribosomal RNA", at positions 124 to 893 of the family's 1478-position model. The record is from RNAcentral.
GGAUAACCCNGGGAAACUGGGGAUAAUACCGGAUAACGCAUANNNGCUGGAAUGCUUUAUGCGUAAAAUGGAUUUGUCUGCCCAAGGAUGGGNNNGCGGCCUAUCAGGUAGUAGUGGGUGUAAUGUACCUACUAGCCUACGACGGGUACGGGUUGUGAGAGCAAGAGCCCGGAGAUGGAUUCUGAGACAUGAAUCCAGGCCCUACGGGGCGCAGCAGGCGCGAAAACUUUACAAUGCGGGAAACCGUGAUAAGGGGACACCGAGUGCCAGCAUCAUAUGUUGGCUGUCCAGAUGUGUAAAAUACAUCUGUUAGCAAGGGCCGGGCAAGACCGGUGCCAGCCGCCGCGGUAACACCGGCGGCCCGAGUGGUGAUCGUGAUUAUUGGGUCUAAAGGGUCCGUAGCCGGUUUGGUCAGUCCUCCGGGAAAUCUGACGGCUCAACCGUUAGGCUUUCGGUGGAUACUGCCAGACUUGGAACCGGGAGAGGUAAGAGGUACUACAGGGGUAGGAGUGAAAUCUUGUAAUCCCUGUGAGACCACCUGUGGCGAAGGCGUCUUACCAGAACGGGUUCGACGGUGAGGGACGAAAGCUGGGGGCACGAACCGGAUUAGAUACCCGGGUAGUCCCAGCCGUAAACGAUGCUCGCUAGGUGUCAGGCAUGGCGCGACCGUGUCUGGUGCCGCAGGGAAGCCGUGAAGCGAGCCACCUGGGAAGUACGGCCGCAAGGCUGAAACUUAAAGGAAUUGGCGGGGGAGCAAGGCUGAAACUUAAA